This 306-nucleotide ribosomal RNA is filed under the name Triticum aestivum (bread wheat). RNAcentral's name for it is "partial small subunit ribosomal RNA". The record is from RNAcentral. Lineage: Eukaryota; Viridiplantae; Streptophyta; Magnoliopsida; Poales; Poaceae.
AUGCCUCAGAAACUCCUCCUCACGCUACUGGUGGCCUCGCGCAAGCUGCGGCACUAUUUUCAGGGUCACCCCAUCAAGGUCGUCUCGUCAUACCCCCUGGAGAGAGUGCUCAGGAGCCCUAAUUCAGCUGGAAGGGUCGCUGAGUGGAACAUAGAACUGCAAGUGUUUCAGCUCGAAUUCAGCAUGACCAGAGUCAUCAAGGGAGCAGCAUUGGCGGAUUUUGUGGCAGAAUGGAUGGAGGUGCCAGGCCUCAGGGCCGACGAGGAUCGGUCCCUGUCCCCGGGAAGCGAGGCGCCAGAAGGCUAG